This is a non-coding RNA of Gossypium raimondii (Peruvian cotton), 109 nucleotides long. Lineage: Eukaryota; Viridiplantae; Streptophyta; Magnoliopsida; Malvales; Malvaceae. The record is from Rfam.
UAUUAAAAAUUUCAUUCCAUUUUUACUGUUAAAAACUGGCGCAGAUGACCAAAUAACUAGACAUACAGGUUCCAGUUUUUAAUAGUAAAAAUGGAUGGAAUUUUUAAUA